RNAcentral lists this transfer RNA (89 nucleotides) under Anaerotignum sp. RNAcentral describes it as "tRNA-Ser". It matches the Rfam family "tRNA". From Rfam's summary of the family: Transfer RNA (tRNA) molecules are approximately 80 nucleotides in length. Their secondary structure includes four short double-helical elements and three loops (D, anti-codon, and T loops). Lineage: Bacteria; Bacillati; Bacillota; Clostridia; Lachnospirales; Anaerotignaceae. The record is from RNAcentral.
GGAGACGUAUCGAAGUGGUCAUAACGAGAGCGACUCGAAAUCGUUUGAUCCGCAAGGGUCCGUGGGUUCGAAUCCCACCGUCUCCGCCA